This is a long non-coding RNA of Salvia miltiorrhiza (redroot sage), 1850 nucleotides long. RefSeq lists it as uncharacterized. The record is from RefSeq and is a predicted model, not a curated record. The transcript has 2 exons. Lineage: Eukaryota; Viridiplantae; Streptophyta; Magnoliopsida; Lamiales; Lamiaceae.
UAGAAAUCUGACAUAAUGUUAUUUAAAAUAAAAUAAAAUUACACAUAUACAUGCAAACUAAUUAUUGCACAUUAAAGGAAACACUUCUUCCACGUCAUCUCCCUCGUCUUUUCCAUCGCCUACCCCACCUCGCCACCACAUAUGCCCGCUUCACCCGCGGGCUUCAUAAUUGGUAUGCAGAAAAUUAAAAUCUUAAUUUAUUUCUAAUGCAAAAUUAUGGUAGAAAAAUCAAAUCUUUUUAACUACUAAUUGUGUUCCAAUUCAAGUGAGACAAAGCUAAAACUCAAUUCCAAAAGUUUCUAAACAAAACCAUAGCCGGUGAAACCUAUUAGAGUAUAUAUUUAUUUUGGAGAAUUCUUCAUCAUCUCUUGGUAAUUUCCUUCAUAUUCCUCACAAGUUGUAGUGUGAUAAUGAAAGUGCCUUUGUCUUGGCCAACAAUCCGAUCUUUCAUGCAAGGACAAAACAUAUAGAGGUAGAUGUCCAUUGUAUCCUAGAGAAAAUAGUGGAUAAGACUAUUGAGGUAGGACAUGUUCCUUCACACGAUCAGAUUGUCGAUGUGUUUACAAAACGAUUAGCUGAUUCUAGAUUAUGUAUGUAAGUUAGAGAAAUCAAUUUAUGGUUUGAAGCAGGCUCCUCGGGCAUGGUAUGAUACACUUAGAACAAAGAUAUAUAAGCUUGGUUUUCAAAGAUCAACAUCUGACUUCUCACGUUUCUUCUAUGAAAAAGAUUGGGCUAGCUGCCUAGAUGGUAGAAGGUCCACAGGAGGCCACUGUAUAUUGUUGGGCUCCAAUCUCAUUAUGUGAUCAGCUAAGAAACAAGAAGUUGUCUCCUGUAGCAGUGCUAAAUCAGAAUAUAGAAGUGUGGCCAAUGUCACUACUGAUAUAAUUUAGCUAAAGGGGUUGUGUACAGAACUUGGUAUUUUCCUUCAUACUCCUCACAAGUUGUAGUGUGAUAAUGAAAGUGCCCUUACCUUGGUCAACAAUCCAAUCUUUCAUGCAAGGACAAAACAUAUAGAGUGGAUAAGACUAUUGAAAUAGGACAUGUUCCUUCACACGAUCAGAUUGCCGAUUGGUUUACGAAACAUUAGCUGAUUCCAGAUUUUGCCAACUACGUGAUCGGUUGAAUCACUCUAGCAGUGACCAUGGUUAAGUUUCUUUUGGGAUGUAUUCGAGUAUACAUUUAUUCUGGAGAGUUCUUCAUCUCCACGUCAGCAAGUCAGUAGAGUCAAAGUUGUUAUGAGUUAGUGUGAUGAGUUAGUCAGCUAGAAAAGUUAGUUUUUAGUUUUCAUCUGCAUAGCUUAUCUCGUUUCAAUCUUGUAUAAAUAGGUAGUUAGCUUAGUUAAUCUAAAUUUUUCAAUCAAUUAAUUUAGAUAUUUUUCACAUCUCUCUCUUAAUCUCAGCUUAGAUCAACUCUCAAGAAAACCAUCCCAUUUUUUACCUCGUCUAGUUCGAAAGCCUUUUCCCCAAACCUGCAAAAGCCAAUUCAAGCAUCACUUAAUCCAAUAACUUGCCGGAAACUUCUCUGAUAGACGUUGUCUCCUCCCUGACUUCUCCGUCGUCAACAUGCUUUAUCAAAACUCAAACGUUGUCAAUUAUGACACAAAGGGGGGAAGUUCUUACAAGCUGUGAUGCGGACCGACCCGCUUCUUCAGGUGCUUCUUGUCACCGACCCGCUUUCAACGUGGCAGAAUUCGUCGCAGUUUCAGCCUCUUCACAUACGCCCUUUUAUCCAUCAAUGGCAACUAUUAAACCUUUUGUGGAGUUCUUUUUUUAAUGUUCAAUCAUAAAUUUGUAUGCAUAUGCGUAGUUUUAUUUUAUUUAAAUAAUGUCAUGUCCAGUUUUCAGGGUCCA